RNAcentral lists this ribosomal RNA (815 nucleotides) under Akanthomyces dipterigenus. Its description in RNAcentral is "Lecanicillium longisporum partial large subunit ribosomal RNA". It matches the Rfam family "Eukaryotic large subunit ribosomal RNA", at positions 76 to 922 of the family's 3401-position model. The record is from RNAcentral. Lineage: Eukaryota; Fungi; Ascomycota; Sordariomycetes; Hypocreales; Cordycipitaceae.
UCCCCCAGUAACGGCGAGUGAAAGCGGCAACAGCUCAAAUUUGAAAUCUGGCCCCCGGGUCCGAGUUGUAAUUUGUAGAGGAUGCUUUUGGCGAGGUGCCUUCCGAGUUCCCUGGAACGGGACGCCAUAGAGGGUGAGAGCCCCGUCUGGUCGGACACCGAGCCUCUGUAAAGCUCCUUCGACGAGUCGAGUAGUUUGGGAAUGCUGCUCAAAAUGGGAGGUAUAUGUCUUCUAAAGCUAAAUAUUGGCCAGAGACCGAUAGCGCACAAGUAGAGUGAUCGAAAGAUGAAAAGCACUUUGAAAAGAGGGUUAAAAAGUACGUGAAAUUGUUGAAAGGGAAGCGCCUAUGACCAGACUUGGGCCCGGUGAAUCAUCCAGCGUUCUCGCUGGUGCACUUUGCCGGGCACAGGCCAGCAUCAGUUUGGCGCGGGGGAGAAAGGCUCUGGGAAUGUGGCUCCUCCGGGAGUGUUAUAGCCCACUGCGUAAUACCCUGCGCCGGACUGAGGUACGCGCAUUGCAAGGAUGCUGGCGUAAUGGUCAUCAGCGACCCGUCUUGAAACACGGACCAAGGAGUCGUCUUCGUAUGCGAGUGUUCGGGUGUCAAACCCCUACGCGUAAUGAAAGUGAACGCAGGUGAGAGCUUCGGCGCAUCAUCGACCGAUCCUGAUGUUCUCGGAUGGAUUUGAGUAAGAGCAUACGGGGCCGGACCCGAAAGAAGGUGAACUAUGCCUGUAUAGGGUGAAGCCAGAGGAAACUCUGGUGGAGGCUCGCAGCGGUUCUGACGUGCGAAUCGAUCGUCAAAUAUGGGCAUGGGG